UACCAUGCAAGUCCGACGUGAAAGGGGAGCAAUCCCCCGGUAGGGUGGCGAACGGGUGAGUAAGACAUGGGAAUCUGUCCCGGAGAUGGGGAUAUCCUUCCGAAAGGAGGGUUAAUACCGAAUACCGUCCGGUGGACGAGAGUCCAUCGGGGAAAGGGAGGCCUCUGGCAACAUGCUUCCGCUCCGGGAGGAGCCCAUGGCCCAUCAGCUAGUUGGGAGGGUAACGGCCUACCAAGGCGAAGACGGGUAGCUGGUCUGAGAGGACGAUCAGCCACACUGGCACUGAGACACGGGCCAGACUCCUACGGGAGGCAGCAGUGAGGAAUUUUGCGCAAUGGGGGCAACCCUGACGCAGCAACGCCGCGUGUGGGAAGAAGGCUUUCGGGUUGUAAACCACUUUUGUAAGGGACGAAGUCCUUUCGGCAAAUAACCGAGGGGGAUGACGGUACCUUGCGAAUAAGCCACGGCUAACUCUGUGCCAGCAGCCGCGGUAAGACAGGGGUGGCAAGCGUUGUUCGGAGUAACUGGGCGUAAAGGGUCUGUAGGUGGUUUUUCAAGUCUUUGGUAAAACGCCGUGGCUCAACCAUGGUUUGGCCAAGGAGACUGGGAGCUUCGAGGCUGGGAGAGGGAAGCGGAAUUUCUGGUGUAGCGGUGAAAUGCGUAGAGAUCAGAAAGAAGGCCGGUGGCGAAGGCGGCUUCCUGGAACAGACCUGACACUGAGAGACGAAAGCGUGGGGAGCAAACAGGAUUAGAUACCCUGGUAGUCCACGCCCUAAACGAUGGGAACUAAGUGUGGGGAGCAAUCCCCGUGCCGCAGCUAACGCAAUAAGUUCCCCGCCUGGGGAGUACGGCCGCAAGGUUGAAACUC
Molecule: ribosomal RNA, 868 nt
Filed under: uncultured Leptospirillum sp.
Lineage: Bacteria; Pseudomonadati; Nitrospirota; Nitrospiria; Nitrospirales; Nitrospiraceae
Description: bacterial SSU rRNA
Rfam family: Bacterial small subunit ribosomal RNA
Source: RNAcentral